ACGAAGGGUGCAAGCGUUACUCGGAAUUACUGGGCGUAAAGCGUGCGUAGGUGGUUCGUUAAGUCUGCCGUGAAAGCCCCGGGCUCAACCUGGGAAUUGCGGUGGAUACUGGCGGACUAGAGUGCGGUAGAGGGUGGUGGAAUUCCCGGUGUAGCAGUGAAAUGCGUAGAGAUCGGGAGGAACAUCUGUGGCGAAGGCGGCCACCUGGACCAGCACUGACACUGAGGCACGAAAGCGUGGGGAGCAAACAGG
This 252-nucleotide ribosomal RNA is filed under the name uncultured bacterium. RNAcentral's name for it is "partial 16S ribosomal RNA". It matches the Rfam family "Bacterial small subunit ribosomal RNA", at positions 525 to 776 of the family's 1533-position model. The record is from RNAcentral.